Non-coding RNA from Salmo salar (Atlantic salmon), 74 nucleotides. The record is from Rfam. NCBI's taxonomy places the organism in Eukaryota, Metazoa, Chordata, Actinopteri, Salmoniformes, Salmonidae.
GUCCUGUGCGGCUCAGUUGGUAGAGCAUGGCGCUUGCACUGCCAGGGUUGUGGGUUUGAUUCCCACAUGGGACC